ACGGAUAUGAUGAAAUUGGUAGACAUGUUAGAUUUAGGUUCUAAUGAUAAAUUAAGUCGUGAGGGUUCAAAUCCCUCUAUCCGUA
RNAcentral lists this transfer RNA (85 nucleotides) under Gracilaria textorii. Its description in RNAcentral is "tRNA-Leu". It matches the Rfam family "tRNA". From Rfam's summary of the family: Transfer RNA (tRNA) molecules are approximately 80 nucleotides in length. Their secondary structure includes four short double-helical elements and three loops (D, anti-codon, and T loops). Lineage: Eukaryota; Rhodophyta; Florideophyceae; Gracilariales; Gracilariaceae. The record is from RNAcentral.